Non-coding RNA from Caenorhabditis elegans, 134 nucleotides. Lineage: Eukaryota; Metazoa; Nematoda; Chromadorea; Rhabditida; Rhabditidae. The record is from Ensembl.
UUGUGCCCCCUUUCACCAACAGAAGAACAAAUAUCUGCGUCUCACUGAUCAAUGCACUAUUUCGAAGCUCAAGUAGUUGGUUCGAACCGACUGGAUCAUAUGAUAGAUACUAGCAAUGAGGAGGGAAGAUAGUU